GUGCCAGCCGCCGCGGUAAUACGGAGGGUGCGAGCGUUGUUCGGAAUUAUUGGGCGUAAAGCGCGUGUAGGCGGUUUUCUAAGUCUGAUGUGAAAGCCCCGGGCUCAACCUGGGAAGUGCAUUGGAAACUGGGGAACUUGAAUACGGGAGAGGGCAGUGGAAUUCCUAGUGUAGGAGUGAAAUCCGUAGAUAUUAGGAGGAACACCGGUGGCGAAGGCGGCUGCCUGGACCGAUAUUGACGCUGAGACGCGAAAGCGUGGGGAGCAAACAGGAUUAGAUACCCUCGUAGUCC
This 292-nucleotide ribosomal RNA is filed under the name uncultured bacterium. RNAcentral's name for it is "partial 16S ribosomal RNA". It matches the Rfam family "Bacterial small subunit ribosomal RNA", at positions 505 to 796 of the family's 1533-position model. The record is from RNAcentral.